CCGGGAAGUUUGAUUGCAAAUCUGAAUCUUAAAGGAAUUGUCGGAAGGGCACCACCAGGAGUGGAGCUUGCGGCUUAAUUUGACUCACCACGGGAAACCUCACCCGGCCAGUACAUCAUAAGGAUUGACAGAUUGAAAGCUCUUUCAUGAUUUGAUGAAUGGUGGUGCAUGGCCGUUCUUAGUUCGUGGUUUGAACUGUCUGCUUAAUUGCGAUAACGAGCGAGACUCCGACUGCUAAAUACGUGUGAAGUUUUAUUGCUUCACAUGUUCUUAGCUGGAUUUGUGACUCAAAGUCUCAAGAAAUGGAGCAAUAACAGGUCUGUGAUGCCCUUAGAUGUUC
Molecule: ribosomal RNA, 340 nt
Filed under: Aphelenchoides sp. Ap116
Lineage: Eukaryota; Metazoa; Nematoda; Chromadorea; Rhabditida; Aphelenchoididae
Description: bacterial SSU rRNA
Rfam family: Eukaryotic small subunit ribosomal RNA
Source: RNAcentral